Molecule: ribosomal RNA, 464 nt
Filed under: Vreelandella stevensii
Lineage: Bacteria; Pseudomonadati; Pseudomonadota; Gammaproteobacteria; Oceanospirillales; Halomonadaceae
Description: partial 16S ribosomal RNA
Rfam family: Bacterial small subunit ribosomal RNA
Source: RNAcentral
CCUACGGGUGGCAGCAGUGGGGAAUAUUGGACAAUGGGCGAAAGCCUGAUCCAGCCAUGCCGCGUGUGUGAAGAAGGCCUUCGGGUUGUAAAGCACUUUCAGUGGGGAAGAAAGCCUUGGGGCUAAUACCCUCGAGGAAGGACAUCACCCACAGAAGAAGCACCGGCUAACUCCGUGCCAGCAGCCGCGGUAAUACGGAGGGUGCGAGCGUUAUUCGGAAUUACUGGGCGUAAAGCGCGCGUAGGCGGUCUGAUAAGCCGGUUGUGAAAGCCCCGGGCUCAACCUGGGAACGGCAUCCGGAACUGUCAGGCUAGAGUGCAGGAGAGGAAGGUAGAAUUCCCGGUGUAGCGGUGAAAUGCGUAGAGAUCGGGAGGAAUACCAGUGGCGAAGGCGGCCUUCUGGACUGACACUGACGCUGAGGUGCGAAAGCGUGGGUAGCAAACAGGAUUAAUACCCCGGUAGUC